Long non-coding RNA from Ailuropoda melanoleuca (giant panda), 656 nucleotides. RefSeq lists it as uncharacterized. The record is from RefSeq and is a predicted model, not a curated record. NCBI's taxonomy places the organism in Eukaryota, Metazoa, Chordata, Mammalia, Carnivora, Ursidae. The transcript is spliced from 3 exons.
CAAUAUAAAGAGAAAAUAAUCUGACAUCUGAUACCAAGUAUGUUGUGAUAUUUUCAAAACCUGUAUUUCAAAACCAUGUAUUUUAGAGGGAAGAGGAGUGGAUGGGGCUUCCUUAAAUUUCUUCUGUACUCCUGUUCAAAAGAGACCAUCAACACCGCUACUAAGGUAGGGAACAAUUGAAAGCAUCUACAAAAUGUAGAGUUAUUUCUUCUGUCUUUCCUGUCCAGUGAUUAUGACAGAAACUACCUGAGGAACAGGGCUACAAGCAAAACCUCUGUGCUUGUCUUUUAACAAGCCCAAUGCACCUGUGGCACAGAAUUCUGCCUGUCCCUCCCCCAACAGAUGUUCAACGGGAGUAACUACCACCAACCUCAGAGGCCUGGUGUGAAGGUGACAUGGUAUGUAUCUUGAACACAUACCUCGCCCCUCUGACAGUAGACUGGCAUGCCACCGUAUGAGCACAGAACGGAUGCAAGAGCCACCAAGGAAGUGAACCGUGGAAGCAAGAUCAGCGAGUGCUGGUAACGCACUUACUCUAUGCCGAACUCCGUUCACACUACUUUCCGUGAAUUAAGUCAGUUAAUCCUCACAACAAAGCUAUGAAGCAGACACCAUUAUCCCCAUUUUACAGACCAAGAAGCUGAGGUCCAACUUGG